RNAcentral lists this ribosomal RNA (171 nucleotides) under Opsarius dogarsinghi. Its description in RNAcentral is "partial 12S rRNA". The record is from RNAcentral. Lineage: Eukaryota; Metazoa; Chordata; Actinopteri; Cypriniformes; Danionidae.
AACCGCGGUUAGACGAGAGGCCCCAGUUGAUUAACCCACGGCGUAAAGGGUGGUUAUGGGAAUCAGAAAAUAAAGCCAAAUAGUCCCUUGGCCGUCAUACGCUCCUGAGAACUAGAGGCCCAAACACGAAAGUUGCUUUAAAGAUUACCUGAACCCACGAAAGCUAAGAAA